Molecule: non-coding RNA, 45 nt
Filed under: Trichobilharzia regenti
Lineage: Eukaryota; Metazoa; Platyhelminthes; Trematoda; Strigeidida; Schistosomatidae
Source: RNAcentral
ACUCAGGUGACGAGUUCCAAAUAGGACGAAAUGAGCAUCCUGGAU